GGUUCGCCUGAUUGAUCAGAUGUGAUAUUAAGCAAAAUAAGUAAUUUAGGAGUGAGAAGGGUGAUAUAUAUAUAUAUAUGAUGUCACUAAAUAUAUUUCAUUCACAUUUUCAAAAUAUUUCUUUUUUUUUUUUUAAUUAAGUACAUGUAUUUUUUUAGAAUAUUUUGUUUUUAAAACAAUUUCUUAAACUGUGACCGUAAUUUCUGAAUGUAACACCGCUAAGUUGUGUUGGAGAGGUUGAAUAGAUUGUGUUUAUAUAAAGUUCGAUUUGUUAAUUUACUUUUAUUAUACAUAAAAAUGAUUCGUGCUCAGCCUUUCCAAUUCGAGAGAGUUGAUCCUGCAGAAGAAAAGAAAAAAGCCAGGUCUUCUGUUUUGGGUACUUUAAUAGUAUUCAUUACCAUUAUUGGCAUGAUUCGUGCAGCUCCUCUUGCAGUUGAAAAAUUAAAUAGCUAGGAUUUCUUCACCAAAAUUCUGGGUUUAUAUGUAAUGUUGAUAAAAAAAAAAAUGUAUCAUUUUCAUCUGUAGAUUUGCAAAGCUUCACUUAUCAAAAUUGUUUUAUUGAUAGCAACUGUUGUUCAUUUGAAAUGAGAAUGGUUCAUUUUGUAAUGUUUUCAAAAUUAAGAAAAUAAACUAUUUGACAUAA
Molecule: long non-coding RNA, 643 nt
Organism: Argiope bruennichi
Lineage: Eukaryota; Metazoa; Arthropoda; Arachnida; Araneae; Araneidae
Exons: 2
Source: RefSeq, a predicted model, not a curated record